RNAcentral lists this ribosomal RNA (611 nucleotides) under Microbacterium trichothecenolyticum. Its description in RNAcentral is "bacterial SSU rRNA". It matches the Rfam family "Bacterial small subunit ribosomal RNA", at positions 19 to 643 of the family's 1533-position model. Lineage: Bacteria; Bacillati; Actinomycetota; Actinomycetes; Micrococcales; Microbacteriaceae. The record is from RNAcentral.
CUGGCUCAGGAUGAACGCUGGCGGCGUGCUUAACACAUGCAAGUCGAACGGUGAAGCCAAGCUUGCUUGGUGGAUCAGUGGCGAACGGGUGAGUAACACGUGAGCAACCUGCCCUGGACUCUGGGAUAAGCGCUGGAAACGGCGUCUAAUACUGGAUAUGAGCUCUCAUCGCAUGGUGGGGGUUGGAAAGAUUUUUCGGUCUGGGAUGGGCUCGCGGCCUAUCAGCUUGUUGGUGAGGUAAUGGCUCACCAAGGCGUCGACGGGUAGCCGGCCUGAGAGGGUGACCGGCCACACUGGGACUGAGACACGGCCCAGACUCCUACGGGAGGCAGCAGUGGGGAAUAUUGCACAAUGGGCGGAAGCCUGAUGCAGCAACGCCGCGUGAGGGAUGACGGCCUUCGGGUUGUAAACCUCUUUUAGCAGGGAAGAAGCGAGAGUGACGGUACCUGCAGAAAAAGCGCCGGCUAACUACGUGCCAGCAGCCGCGGUAAUACGUAGGGCGCAAGCGUUAUCCGGAAUUAUUGGGCGUAAAGAGCUCGUAGGCGGUUUGUCGCGUCUGCUGUGAAAUCCCGAGGCUCAACCUCGGGCCUGCAGUGGGUACGGGCAGACUA